Molecule: non-coding RNA, 73 nt
Organism: Potamilus streckersoni
Lineage: Eukaryota; Metazoa; Mollusca; Bivalvia; Unionida; Unionidae
Source: the annotation of a GenBank genome assembly
GCUCCGGUGGCCUAGUGGAUAAAGCAUCUGCCUCGGAUCCAGGAGGUCAUGGGUUCAAUCCCCGGCCGAGUCA